CUCAAAUUUAUAAUCUGGCACCUUCGGUGUCCGAGUUGUAAUCUCUAGAAAUGUUUUCCGCGUUGGACCGCACACAAGUCUGUUGGAAUACAGCGGCAUAGUGGUGAGACCCCCGUAUAUGGUGCGGACGCCCAGCGCUUUGUGAUACAUUUUCGAAGAGUCGAGUUGUUUGGGAAUGCAGCUCAAAUUGGGUGGUAAAUUCCAUCUAAAGCUAAAUAUUGGCGAGAGACCGAUAGCGAACAAGUACCGUGAGGGAAAGAUGAAAAGCACUUUGGAAAGAGAGUUAACAGUACGUGAAAUUGUUGGAAGGGAAACGCUUGAAGUCAGACUUGCUUGCUGAGCAAUCGGUUUGCAGGCCAGCAUCAGUUUUCCGGGAUGGAUAAUGGUAGAGAGAAGGUAGCAGUUUCGGCUGUGUUAUAGCUCUCUGCUGGAUACAUCUUGGGGGACUGAGGAACGCAGUGUGCCUUUGGCGGGGGUUUCGACCUCUUCACACUUAGGAUGCUGGUGGAAUGGCUUUAAACGACCCGUCUUGAA
This 534-nucleotide ribosomal RNA is filed under the name Rhodotorula mucilaginosa. RNAcentral's name for it is "partial large subunit ribosomal RNA". It matches the Rfam family "Eukaryotic large subunit ribosomal RNA", at positions 108 to 658 of the family's 3401-position model. The record is from RNAcentral. Lineage: Eukaryota; Fungi; Basidiomycota; Microbotryomycetes; Sporidiobolales; Sporidiobolaceae.